This 253-nucleotide ribosomal RNA is filed under the name uncultured bacterium. RNAcentral describes it as "partial 16S ribosomal RNA". It matches the Rfam family "Bacterial small subunit ribosomal RNA", at positions 524 to 776 of the family's 1533-position model. The record is from RNAcentral.
UACGAAGGGGGCUAGCGUUUUUCGGAUUUACUGGGCGUAAAGCGCGUGUAGGCGGGUCGUUAAGUUGGGGGUGAAAUCCCGGAGAUCAACGCCGGAACUGCCUCCAAAACUGGCGACCUGGAGCAGAGGAGAGGCGAGUGGAAUUCCGAGUGUAGAGGUGAAAUUCGUGGAUAUUCGGAGGAACCCCAGUGACGAAGGCGACUCGCUGGACUCUUGCUGACGCUGAGACGCGAAAGCGUGGGGCGCAAACAGG